This 1951-nucleotide long non-coding RNA is filed under the name Homo sapiens (human). RNAcentral's name for it is "THUMPD3 antisense RNA 1, transcript variant 1 (THUMPD3-AS1)". Lineage: Eukaryota; Metazoa; Chordata; Mammalia; Primates; Hominidae. The record is from RNAcentral.
GGAAGCCGCCGGGGCCGCCUAGAGAAGAGGCUGUGCUUCGGCGCUCCGGCUCCUCAGAGAGCCUCGGCUAGCUGGGAUUCUGUCCCUGACCGUCUUCACAGUCCAGGUGAUCUUGACUACUGCUUUACAGAGAAUUGGAUCUGAGGUGUGGAAACAGGAAGAGAACUAGAACUGGAAGUAAAGCAUUGAAGAUGUGACUGAAUUGCUGCAAUCUCAUGAUCAAAUUUGAAUGGAUGAGGAGUUGCUUUUUAGGGAUGAGCAAAGAAAGUGGUUUCUCGAGAUGGAAUCUACUGGUUGCUCCUUGAGGGCAGGACAGUUCUUAUGGCUUUAUCCGUUGCGUAAGCACAGAGAGGUCUGCGAGGUCAAAACUAUUGUCAUGAUAGCAAGAUGCCUGUCUUUUUCAUUUAUUCUCACGGUGUGCAGAGGCUACAUGAUGUGUGAUGACAUCCUCAUUGAUGUUAAUGAAUGGUGCUAUACUUGAAUUUUCUAAGGUGUCAUUAGGUAGGUUUAGGUAUGCAUACUUGUUUUUAGAAAUUAUUUUUUUCCUUUUUCCCAUUUUUAGAAAUCAACUCAUUUUUUAGGUUAUGCCUUCAGUAAUCUUUGCAACCUCAAUAUUGUGUAAUGGUUACUUUAAAAUACUGUAGUUUUCUUUGUGCCUAAGUAUAAACAUAAGUACAUUUUGUUGUUUUGUUUGCAAUAGUGGUUUAAAUAUUUUCCCAAAAUAUCCAAAUUUAAAAAUUCUACAACUUUAGAAUUUAAUAAAUUUAUUCUAAAAUAUUUAUAUAUUUUUUCAUUUAAGAAUGGAUCGGCUUAAAAAGACUGCUUCUCAUUUACUUACUGGCUAUACCAUCUGUAUACUAAUAAAAAACAAGAUUUGAUUUGGAAGGACUGACUCAAACUAACGAAAAUAUGAAACCUGUCUUUCUGCUUUGGAGAUAUUUACCUAAUCAUGUUCUGCAGUAGAAUAAUUUAGUUCUUUUGUCUUUUUUUGGAGAUGAGGUCUUGCUGUGUUGCCCAGGCUAUUCACAGCUGCCAUCAUAGUGAACUACAGCCUGAAACUCCUGGGUUCAAGAGAUCCUUCUGCCUCAGCCUCCUGAGUAGCUGGAACUAUAGGCAUGCGCCACCAAGCCUGGGCUUUUAAAAAAAUUUUAAAAAGAAUUUUGAGACAGGAUCUUGCCAUGUUGCUCAGGCUAGUCUUCAACUCCUAGCCCUGAGUGAUCUUGCUUUGGGCCUCUCAAAAUGUUGAGUUAAUAGGCGUGAGCCACCAUACCCAGCCAAAAAUUUUUUUAGAGAUGGGAAUGGAAUGAUCUUGAAUAGUGUUGGUGCCACCUAUGUUGUGGCAUCAUUUUGAAACCAAUCAUUCAGAGUGCUUUUUUUGGUAAGGCAUUAUUUUUUAAUGCAGGUAUGCCACUACUGGGAAAAAAAAAAAAACAGGUUUUAAAGCUAGAAAUGAAAAGCUACUUAAGUAUCUUAAAGGAUAAGUUACUUUAUUAUACACUAGAAACAUACACAAUAGCUGAAAAACUUAAAAAAUCUCACACUGCUGAAUGUCUCUGCUGGCUGAAGUGUAAGUAAAAGAUCAUAGUAGUGCCGCUGUUGAGUGAUAAAGCAACUUGUCAUUAAAGAUGUGUGUGCAGACAUGGAUUCUGAGUUAAUAUCUCAUCUGUAGAAGUAUAUAUUUGUCCCUUGCUUUGGGAUUGGUUUCUGGACAGCACUCCCCCACCCUUGCUGGCCAUUUGCCAAGGACACCAAAACCCAAGGAUGUUGAAUUCCCUUUUAUAAAAUGGCGCUGUAUCUGCAUACAACUUACACACAUCCUCCCAUAUACUUUAAAUCAUUUCCAGAUUUCUUAUACUUCAUACAAUGUGAAUGCUAUAUAAAUAGUUGUUACAUUGUGUACUUAUAUUUGUACUAUUGUAUUAAAUAUUCUCAAAUAUUUUCAAGCAAAAAA